This 459-nucleotide ribosomal RNA is filed under the name uncultured bacterium. RNAcentral describes it as "partial 16S ribosomal RNA". It matches the Rfam family "Bacterial small subunit ribosomal RNA", at positions 338 to 795 of the family's 1533-position model. The record is from RNAcentral.
CCUACGGGUGGCAGCAGUGAGGAAUAUUGGUCAAUGGCCGAGAGGCUGAACCAGCCAAGUCGCGUGAGGGAAGACGGCUCUACGGGUUGUACACCUCUUUUGUCGGGGAGCAAAGCGAGUCACGUGUGACUCCUUGAUAGUACCCGAAGAAAAAGCAUCGGCAAACUCCGCGCCAGCAGCCGCGGUAAUAUGGUGGAUGCGUGCGUUACCCGGAUUUAUUGGGUUUAAGGGGUGCUCAGGCGGAGGUGCAAGUCAGCGGUCAAAUUGCGGGGCUCAACCCCGUACUGCCGUUGAAACUGCAUCCCUUGAGUGCGCGAGAAGUGUGCGGAACUCGUGGUGUAGCGGUGAAAUGCAUAGAUAUCACGCAGAACUCCGAUUGCGAAGGCAGCAUACCGGCGCGCAACUGACGCUCAUGCACGAAAGCAUGGGUAUCGAACAGGAUUAGAUACCCUUGUAGUC